Molecule: signal recognition particle RNA, 314 nt
Filed under: Candidatus Methanovirga australis
Lineage: Archaea; Methanobacteriati; Methanobacteriota; Methanobacteria; Methanobacteriales; Methanobacteriaceae
Description: signal recognition particle sRNA
Rfam family: Archaeal signal recognition particle RNA
Source: RNAcentral
AUAUGGCUAGACUGGAGGGUUAGAGGUCCUCUGUAAGCACAAACCCCUCUUUGGUGCAGUCGAAAUUCAAAGGGCGGCUUUUUGAAUAAAUAAUUGCCUGUUAAGUCGAUAUAGAGACUUCGUCCUACAGGAUUAAUGGUCAUAUAGUCUUAACUGGAGGGUUAAGAUCAAAUAUGUUUAUUAUGGGAAUGUGUUAGGCAUGGAAAUGAGCAGCUCUACUGUAAACAGUUGAUGCUUGUAGAUAAACGGGGUGGAGUUGAUUUCUCAGAUCACUUUUAUUUAUGAUCUAAGUCCACCUUUGAAUGUGCCAAUAU